AUUGAACGCUGGCGGCAGGCCUAACACAUGCAAGUCGAACGAGUGGCGGACGGGUGAGUAAUGUCUGGGAAACUGCCUGAUGGAGGGGGAUAACUACUGGAAACGGUAGCUAAUACCGCAUACCAUCGGAUGUGCCCAGAUGGGAUUAGCUAGUAGGUGGGGUAAAGGCUCACCUAGGCGACGAACCCUAGCUGGUCUGAGAGGGUGACCAGCCACUAGGGAACUGGAGCACGGGCCACAUGCCUACGGGAGGCAGCAGUGGGGAAUAUUGCACAAUGGGCGGAAGCCUGAUGCAGCCAUGCCGCGUGUAUGAAGAAGGGUUUCGGGUUGUAAAGUACUUUCAGCUGGGAGGCGGUACCCGCAGCAGAAGCACCGGCUAACUCCGUGCCAGCAGCCGCGGUAAUAC
Molecule: ribosomal RNA, 406 nt
Filed under: uncultured bacterium
Lineage: Bacteria
Description: partial 16S ribosomal RNA
Rfam family: Bacterial small subunit ribosomal RNA
Source: RNAcentral